Myxocyprinus asiaticus (Chinese sucker) is the source of this 1365-nucleotide long non-coding RNA. RefSeq lists it as uncharacterized. The transcript is spliced from 3 exons. Lineage: Eukaryota; Metazoa; Chordata; Actinopteri; Cypriniformes; Catostomidae. The record is from RefSeq and is a predicted model, not a curated record.
CAUGCUGCAGGGUCAAGGGCGGAGAAUAAAUAGAGUCAAACAGAAACUAAACAAACCUCAAAUAAACACCUGAUAGAGCACACACUCAAACAUAGAGCAGACAAAACCCAGAGAAGAUCAGGUCAACAUGACCGCUAUACUGCAGAGUUAUUGUGAUAGAAAACAGCACCGACAAUGCACUUGACGGCUUUGAGAUAUUCACACAUCACUAAAAAAUGAUUCGUUGGCUCAACAAACAAUUUCCAGUGAAAUGUCCAGAUGGGGGCGCCAAAAGCAAGUAAAAUGGUGUCGUAUUCAGACGAGGUUUUAAGACUAAAAACCAGUGCCAACCACAUCUAGAAGGCUACAGUGAUGCCAUGGAGAGUCAAAAACACAGAGAGGAUAAGAGGAAAACCGCCACACCUGCCAGCUGUAAAAUCCUGUUAGGAGGAAAAACCUUUCCCUGUAUCCCUGAAGGCAUGAUCUCAAUCCAGCCCCCCAUCUCAAACUCCAGCAUCAGACAAACACAACACGGGCUUCAGACAAACAACAUUUCCUGUAAGCGAGGAGCUGAUCCAAUUUGCGGUGCUGUUACAGUGAAGGCGGUUAGUGGGAGGUCUGAGUGUCACUGAUGCAUCGAGACAUUUGCUCAAUGAGACACAAACGCAUCAGAGAGGGGGUCCUGUUCCAGUAAACACCCGGUGGGGGGGCGUCUGUGAUUGCUCACGUCUAAUUUGUGUUUCUCUCUAACCAUUACCCCCUGCUCUACAACCCUGUCAUCCAGAGUUCUUCUGCCCUGAGUACAUACGAGAGAACGCCUCUCAAAAAUCAAGAGCAUUUGUUUCAUCCGUGGGUGAAUCUCACCAAAACUGUAAAGAACAUGCCCAAGUCAUAUUUCACUCCAAAAAUCAAAAAGGUACAAAUAUUCUAAAUAAAGAAAAUGAAGCAUAUUUUUAGGCCCAAUACGAUUGUUUGCAUUGUUUUCAUGACAAUUAAGAACUUUUGAACCCCCUAAAUUCUCAUUUCCUUAGGGCAAAAAUAUAUAAUUAUCCACAAGAUUAUGUUUUUCGCACUAAGGUAAUGAGAAUUUGGGGGUAAAUGUGCUGAAUUGUCAUGAAAAUAAUAUCACAACACCAACAACCUUAAUGAUCCUAUAAACGGUUCAUUUUCUUUAUGCAAUGGGUUAGUAUAAUAAUACAAAUGAUUAUUUUUUUCUUUGAUUCCGGGGUGAAAUAAGAGCCAGACAUAGGGCUGCACAAUUAAAAGAAUAAAUAACCGAGAUUAUAGUCGAGAUUAUAAUGAGAGGUCGCCUGAUACUGGAUUUCGCAGAUAACGAUAACUAAGUUGGUGGGACAGGCCGAUAACCGAUUAAUCGGUAGAUAAUUU